RNAcentral lists this ribosomal RNA (278 nucleotides) under Thylacodes sp. Aust. Mus. C203213. Its description in RNAcentral is "partial 12S ribosomal RNA". The record is from RNAcentral. Lineage: Eukaryota; Metazoa; Mollusca; Gastropoda; Littorinimorpha; Vermetidae.
UUAGGGGAGCCUGUCUCGUAAACGAUAAUCCCCGUGAGACCUUACCUUAUGUUGCUAAGUUUAUAUACCGUCGUCGGCAGUUAACUUCUAAGAAAAUAGGCGUUAGCUUAAUAGCGGAAGUAAGCUAUUACGUCAGAUCGAGGUGUAGCUAAUACUAGGGAAGUGAUGGGCUACAGUUAAAAUUUAUAACACGGAAUAAGAAAUGAAAUUUUCCUAUGAAGGCGGACUUAGCAGUAAUUAAAUUUAUAGAAAUUUAAUGAAAUUAUUUUAGAGUGUGU